AAUUUCAUUAGUUUAAAGGCUCACAAAAAAAUUGGCUACCAAGGUCAAAACAAUAAAGUUCACAAUUUAAAGCCUAAAUCCAGCUUUGCUAGGAAGAAGCAUAAGAACUACUUUUAUCAUUUGCACAAGAUAAAGCUGGUAGUGAAGGCUUCCAUAUUGCUAAUUAACCGAUAAAAACCACCGAUGAAGCACAAGCAAAAAUAAAUUAAAGAGAAAGGGACCUCAAACCAUCAAAAGCCCAAUAGCCUAAUAGGAAAAGGACAAUUCCUAAAAAAGUCUGAGAGAUGAUUGCGGAUACUGAGUAGCACUCUUUAGUGAUGAUAAGCCUUUUGGAUCUAUCGUCUAUAAAGCGAAUUGCGGUAAGAGAUCUCAGAGAUGCUCAAUACCAUAAAGGAUUCAACACCCUCAGAACAAAGACAUGAGGAUGAAGGAUAAAAGUGGAUCAAGAAGGCAAGAUCUCCAACCGGAUUACGGGAUGGCAGAAGAUAUGUGCUCUACUCAGAUACUGGUGAGCCUUCUCUCCCUUACAAAGUGAUGAUUUUUCAUCUUCAAACAUGCAAAAGAAAAGAAGAAACAACAACACAAGGCAACCAAGAAGAACUAUUAGCAUGUUGACCCGCUGCUUCCAAAAUAAAAGUAAAAAAGAAAAUUAAAACUAUAUAAAUUCAUAUCUAUGGGAUAGAGAGAAUCCACAUAGGGCUAAAGAGGCGAGGCUUCCCUCUGUCCCAAGAGCAAAUAAAGGUUGACAGGCGGUAGAUAAAGAGAAAAAAAUCCUAAAUGGUAAUACUCAUAAAGGAAUAGAGAAAAGAGAGAUUCUCUCUCUAAAAUAGAAAAAGAUAUUCUCUGUUGUACAUACAAUGAUUUUAUUGUACCCAUUGAUUAUAGUAGAUUUUAUUAUAAUUUAUGAUUAAUAUAUAACCAUAAUUAAUAUAAUAAUUUUUCAUACUAAGCUAAUUACGGUCUAAUUCAGAAUUCAAAUCCGCCGUGAUCAGGUAAAAUCAACGAUCCAAAUAAAGGAUAAGUGUUCGGUGGCAGCACAACCCUAAUACUGGUAAAGGUAAGGUGGGCUGGACUCAGUAUGCACAACCUAUUUCGGUUAAAGACGAGGCGGAGACUAAGUCCAGGUCAAGAUAAGGGUGGAGUCUUCAUGUCCAGGUCUAGACGUAAUCGCUGGGCUCGUUAUCUGCUGAUCCUCGUGGACCCUCUCGUUGCUGAGUUUUGUGUACUGAAUUGGGUCAAUGCAUUUCUCUUGCAUCUUAGACAUCUGCAUUGAAGUUAAAAGCUGGGCCCAUGGCGGAUAUCUAAAUAAAUAAGAAUGAAUAGGUAAACACUAAUGAUUUUACAUCAAAAUAAAUGGUUUUUUUUUUUAAAAAGAAGAUAAUAAUUACCUUUUGUAUUUAAAGAUAUUUAUUUGAUCCAUGAUAUUUCUUUUGUACAAUGAGUUUUUAGUGGUUAUUUAAAUGCUUUAUCA
Molecule: long non-coding RNA, 1471 nt
Filed under: Manihot esculenta (cassava)
Lineage: Eukaryota; Viridiplantae; Streptophyta; Magnoliopsida; Malpighiales; Euphorbiaceae
Description: long non-coding RNA (MESC_LNC010617)
Source: RNAcentral